RNAcentral lists this non-coding RNA (148 nucleotides) under Nomascus leucogenys (northern white-cheeked gibbon). Lineage: Eukaryota; Metazoa; Chordata; Mammalia; Primates; Hylobatidae. The record is from Rfam by way of RNAcentral.
GCCGGGCGUGGUGGCGUGCACCUGUAAUCCCAGCUACUCAGGAGGCUGAGGCAGGAGAAUCGCUUGAACCCGGGAGGUGGAGGUUGCAGUGAGCCAAGAUCGCGCCACUGCACUCCAGCCUCGGUGACAGAGUGAGACCCUGUCUCCA